RNAcentral lists this long non-coding RNA (253 nucleotides) under Elaeis guineensis (African oil palm). RNAcentral's name for it is "long non-coding RNA (EGUI_LNC020470)". Lineage: Eukaryota; Viridiplantae; Streptophyta; Magnoliopsida; Arecales; Arecaceae. The record is from RNAcentral.
UGGGCAUCACCUCUCCAUAGGCAUCUCUCUCUUCUUGGGCAUCCUCCCUAUCCCUUAUGGUGUGGUGUGUGGGCUCCUUCCAAGGCCUUAAAAUUAGAUCUCAAGGUUCUCCUUCUUUCCUCAUGAAGAGUUUUUCAUCCCUUUCUCCUACGUUGCUUGGCGUGUGUGUGAAGUAAAGAAUCUGCGCAUCUGGAUCUCACAAAGCAAAUCGAUUGAGGAACGUCCUCAACCUUGAUUAAGUCUCCCACUGCGA